CACGUAGGGGACGAGCGUUGUCCGGAUUCAUUGGGCGUAAAGCGCGCGUAGGCGGCUCGGAAAGUCGGGCGUGAAAUGCCGGGGCUCAACCUGGGAACUGCAUUUGUGACUGCAUCGCUGGAGUGCGGCAGAGGGGGAUGGAAUUCCGCGUGUAGCAGUGAAAUGCGUAGAUAUGCGGAGGAACACCGAUGGCGAAGGCAAUCCCCUGGGCCUGCACUGACGCUCAUGCACGAAAGCGUGGGGAGCAAACAGG
This 253-nucleotide ribosomal RNA is filed under the name uncultured bacterium. RNAcentral's name for it is "partial 16S ribosomal RNA". It matches the Rfam family "Bacterial small subunit ribosomal RNA", at positions 524 to 776 of the family's 1533-position model. The record is from RNAcentral.